Pipistrellus kuhlii (Kuhl's pipistrelle) is the source of this 2943-nucleotide long non-coding RNA. RefSeq lists it as uncharacterized. The transcript has 3 exons. The record is from RefSeq and is a predicted model, not a curated record. NCBI's taxonomy places the organism in Eukaryota, Metazoa, Chordata, Mammalia, Chiroptera, Vespertilionidae.
UCAGGAGGAGCUGGAGGGUGGAUGCGAUGCUCCCAUGGAGAGAUCGCUCUUCCCAACAGGCGGAGCGUGCGCUUGCAGCCCAGAAAUCUGGCCCCUCUGCUCUGGGCUCUGCCUCUAACUCCUCACAAUCCGGGGCAUGUCUUUUACCAUCAAAGAGACUUGGUUUCCUAAUCUAUAAAACGGGGCUGUAAAAACCUGGGCCUGUCAAUUCCGCCUUUUACGACGUUCUGAUGCCCAAGCAAGGUAAUAGAAGGGCUAUUUUUUCUUUUCUUUUAUGUGUUUCUUUACUCUUAUCCUCAACGUAUAUGCACGUCUAGAGCUACACGGUCCAGUACUGUAGGUAUGAGCCACGUGUAGCUAUUUAACUUCAAAUUAAUGAAAAUUAAAUCAUAUUCAAAGUUCAGUGUCUCAGUCACACUACCCAAAAGCCCCAUGUGGCUAGUGGCUACAGACAUAUCUGUCCGCACAGAUCUAGAACAUGUUCCUCAUUUCAGAAUGAACAGAACGGGGCCAGAACAUCAGAGUGACCGGCACUGACGCCGGCAGCUGGUCUGGCUUGUCCUGGUUCUCACUGACUACCCUCCGUUCCCCCAGGGCAAAGGAUGGGUCAUGGUCCCUUGUCAUGGGAAGUACUCAGCCAGCUCCACAUUGGGAUCCUGAUGUAGUAGCAACCACUGCUUUAACAAGAGCACAUUUUGAGCACUGAAGCACCUGCUAGGCCCUGUGCCAGCAUUUGAUGUGCGUUAUUUCAUUCACACACCCCCACCCCCCACGACUCCGUUAGAUGGGUAGUAUCUCACCUGGAGGACAUGGAAGCCUGGCGAUGUUGAGUAGCUCGGAAGCCACGGCACUCAGGGCUGCGGCCGGACUCUGCCCGCAGAGCCUGAGCACGCACUUCUGCAUUAAGUGGUUCUCCACACACCUGAAGUACUUCAGGGGGGAAGUGUCCUGGCUGCACCUCAACUGAACUUAAUUAGAAUCUGCUAGGGUGGGGCCCAGGCACUGGUCUUUCUCAUAAGCUCCACAGUGAUGCUAGCAUGUGGCUGGCAGAGAGCCACUGAACCAGCCAGAAACUACAAGUCUGCCUUGUCCUCAUACCAUGGUCCUUAUUUCUCCUCUUUCUUGAUUCAGUUCUCUCUCUCUCUCUCUCUCUCUCUCUCUCUCUCUCUCUCUCUUUCUCUCUAAGCAAGGGCCUAUGAUUCUUCCAGGAAAGGCCUGUGAUUCUUCCAGGAAAGCCCCCUGUGGUUGGGUGGGGAGGAGUCGCCAUGUGGCCCACGCUGCCUUGUGAGCUCACUGGGUCAUGUGGCUGCUUGGACCAGGUGCAUCCUGGGGCAGGUGGCAGAUGUCUUGACGCUGGGAGCGGGAGAGGCAAACUUUCUUGGCCCGAGUCUGCUCUGACCUUGCAGGACACCUCCUGUGCCGGUCACUCCUGCCAGCACCCUCUCUCUGGAUCAGCUUCCAUUUCAGAUUGCUGUGCACUUGCAUGAAAAGUCUCAUAUUUCAGACACCUCAGGGCAAGUCCUUCUGGAGAUCAAAGGAAGAUACUAGCCAAAACUUGUUUUGCAAGAUUAAGGGAGGGAGGGUAGUGGGGGGAAGCUGUACAAUAAGGAGUUUAUAACAUUUCCAACAGGAUAUGUAGGAGGACCGCUCCCAGGCAAUGACUGAAAUAAAAUACCUGGCCUGCAGUUGCCAUGGUGCUUGUCCAAAGGUGCAGGUGGCAGUUCUGCUCCCAAUCCCUGCUCUUUUCAUCCGGAAGCAGCCAGUGACUGGGGAAGCCCCAAGUGGCUGAGCACCUUGGGCAGAGGUGGAAGCCACAGAGCCUCCAGACUUACCCGACUCCAGUUCUAAUUUCCCUGGGCCCCUUUCCACCCACCCAGGCUCUCCUUACAUGUCCACCUUAAAUGGCUCAACUGGAAAUGGUUCCAGGGAUGCAUCACUACUUGUUUAAUUUUUUUAAUGGGACCCAACCUCCCUUUGAUGAAGGGCCCACCUCUUUUCACUGGGUGUACGGCCUGCUUUGGGUUCUUCAGAGGAAGCAAGUCUGGAUCCAACCCAAACAAACAGAUGUGGGGCGCGGGCGCUCCUGUUGUCCAGAGUGGGAGUGUGGGUUUGGCUACUAAGCAGGGGCUUAAACACUCAUAAGUUUCUCCUAUUUUAAAAACACUGUUAUUUCCAUCCAGUAAAUUUUUCAUUUAAAAUAUUGUAUUUUUCACCUCUAGAUGUUUGGUUCUUUCUCAGAUCUCCCAUUUUCAUCAUUACCGUGUUCACGUUUUCCUUGUCUGCUAAUUCCAUCCUCUCUGUCAUUUCUGGGUCUGAUUCUAUUGAUUGAUCUUCCUCUUAGGAACAUUUUCUGCUUCUUGCCAUGGCUAGUGGUUUUUGCCUGGAUACUGAACUGUAGAAUAAAUUAUGUUGUUGAGUAACUGGAUUCCCUCCCCUCCCUUUAAAGAAUGUUGGGCUUUAUCCUAGUAGGAAGUUUAGUUACUUGUGGUUCUGCUGAGGCUUGUGUGUAAGCUCUGUUAGGAUUAGUCUAGAGUUGCCUUUAAUCUGAGAAUAACUCACCCCGUAGUGAAGCGUGGCCCUUCUGAGGUCUGUACUGAAUCCCUGCAUGGUCCGCGCUGACUGUCUGCGCUGGCCGGUGGGCUUUGAUUUGUCUCCACACCUCUGUGAGGUCUGGGAACUGUUCAUCUCUGCGCUUUCAGUCUCUCAUGGUUUUACCCAACGACUGUGCAUCUUGUGUUCAGCAGACUUAAGAGACCCUCUUAUGCAGAUUUCUGAAGGUUAUUUUCUUUAUAACCACCUCCAGAACUUUGUCCAGCAAAUUCCAGUCACCUCAACCCUGAAUUCUGAUCUCUGUCAUAUCAACUUAGCAGGACUGCUGUGCUCUGCUUGGAAUCUCCCUCUAAGCUCUGUGGUCUGGAAAUGGCCCCUAGAAAGCAAUUCUGG